UGGGGAAUAUUUCCUCCGAGGAAGUUUAGC
This 30-nucleotide non-coding RNA is filed under the name Mus musculus (house mouse). Lineage: Eukaryota; Metazoa; Chordata; Mammalia; Rodentia; Muridae. The record is from RNAcentral.